Molecule: non-coding RNA, 941 nt
Organism: Electrophorus electricus (electric eel)
Lineage: Eukaryota; Metazoa; Chordata; Actinopteri; Gymnotiformes; Gymnotidae
Source: RefSeq, a predicted model, not a curated record
UUUCUCCUGGUAUACUGUCUACCUCUGGUUGGUCUUUUGUUUUGGAGGGGGUAGAUAAGGCGCACGAGAGCAGCAGAUUCCCGUUCUCAAAGGGGGAAAUUAGAGUGGAGGCAGAGGAGAGUUAUCGCUGACUAAUGCGCUUUAUCUCACGGGGGAGAGCGAGAGGGACCUUCACUGACACAUGCAGUUCCAGUGCCUCAACUUACCAGCCUUACUGGGUUCUGGACAGCUCAGAGAAGAUGCAUGUCAGUGAGGGUAUGGGGAGAGGACGUCAUGUCCCAGAGCUGGUGGAAGAUGUGAUCCUACUGUCCUCAUCAGGCACCGAGAAUGUAGCCAGAUCCCAAAUCACAGCUCAUGAUGUCUUAUGGCCCAGCUGGGGCUCAAAUCUGACUCCUGGUCCCAAUCCAGAAGCGGAAAAAAUGAGAAAAAUGGCAUCAGGCAUUCUCUAGGGACAGGAGAACGACUCCAGAGCGAGUGAUCUCAGGGCCGAGUGUCCAGGAUUGCUUCUGUGUCACGUUGAGCAACUGUCGUUCUGUUCGCCACAGGUCAACAUUUGGCUGGGGCCAUGGUGAAAGCUGUUCAGUCUUCAGGUGUUCCUGCUGACCCUUGAGCUCUCCCCAGGCUCAGGCGGCCCGGCCCGGCUCGGCUGGUUCCACACGUCAUCGACGGACUCUUUCAGCGACGCUCCGGCCGCAGACACCGUCUGGCCCCGGAUCACACAAAAGCAUCGGAGCCGGAGGCACCUCUGGACGGGGAUGAAAGGGGCCAUCACUCAGUGUCCCUGUCUAGCCUGUCCACCUGCUCCUCUGUCCCCAGAGUGACGUUCACAGUUAGAUUCCAGCCAGCUGCAGGAAUGUUCUGUUCCGUUCAGUCCAGUUCCUACGUUAGGAUCCAGUCUGGCAUCAGACCUAAAACGCAUGCCAGUGUUUUGGGAGUCCACA